AAUAGAUACCCGGGUAGUCCACGCCGUAAACGAUGGAUGCUAGCUAUUGGGGGGAAUCGACCCCCUCCGAAGCGAAGCUAACGCGUUAAGCAUCCCGCCUGAGUAGUACGAGCGCAAGCUUAAAACUCAAAGGAAUUGACGGGGACCCGCACAAGCGGUGGAGCGUGUGGUUUAAUUCGAUGGUAAACGAAGAACCUUACCAAGGUUUGACAUCCCGGUAGCCGUUCUCCGAAAGGAGAAUUUCAUUUAGUUGGACCGGUGACAGGUGAUGCAUGGCCGUCGUCAGCUCGUGUCGUGAGAUGUUGGGUUAAGUCCCGCAACGAGCGCAACCCUUAUGAUUUAGUUGGAUUUUUCUAAACAGACUGCCCUGGUAACAGGGAGGAAGGAGGGGAUGAUGUCAGGUCAGUAUUUCCCUUACACCUUGGGGCGACACACGCGCUACAAUGGCCGGUACAAUGGGCAGCUAAGCCGCGAGGCGGAGCAAAUCCCAUCAAAGCCGGUCCCAGUUCGGAUUGCAGGCUGAAACCCGCCUGCAUGAAGCCGGAAUCGCUAGUAACC
Molecule: ribosomal RNA, 558 nt
Filed under: uncultured bacterium
Lineage: Bacteria
Description: bacterial SSU rRNA
Rfam family: Bacterial small subunit ribosomal RNA
Source: RNAcentral